UUGGCAUCCAGCUGUGUGCUUUCAGGCUCUGACAACAUCACCAGGAGUGUGUACUGCAGAAGCAUUGUUUCUUCAUUUAAUUAUAUGCCCCUGGCUUUUAUUUUGAGUGAGCUCAGGACCAUGCUCACAGCCUAUUUCUCUGCUGAAGGUGGGUGAGCAGAGGCUCUGGGACAGACAGCCCCACCAGGAAGCUGGAGGCUGAAGACCAGAUGUGGCUGUAAACUGGAAACUCUUCAAAGCACAGCUCAGAAAGGCCUAGAGCUGCCAUGUGAGCAGUGUGAAGCCAUGACCACAAGCAGCCUGAAACAUGUCAAGGUCACCCAAGGGAUCACAGAAUCACAAAGGUUGGAAAAGACCUCUAAGAUCAUUGAGUCCGACUGGAUGGGUGUGAAGAAAUGGAAUAAGCUUCAUUACACUGUUAUGUGACAGAAGAGGUUCUAGGAGCUAAUGAAAAUACUGUGGAAAAAGAAGUGUGCACAGAAACACUUUGAUUUGAUUACAAUAAAAAAUUUAUUUUGAUUCAUAUCAUACUGAAAAAUUAAAUAAAUAAAAUAUCAACGAAUGAUUGUAUGAGACUUCCCACCAUUAGAGAAAAAAAUCAUAAUAGAUUGUGAAGUCAGAGAAAAUUACAAGGAAAACCUGGUCAUGGGAGGAAAAAA
Molecule: long non-coding RNA, 659 nt
Organism: Parus major (Great Tit)
Lineage: Eukaryota; Metazoa; Chordata; Aves; Passeriformes; Paridae
Exons: 3
Source: RefSeq, a predicted model, not a curated record